This 370-nucleotide ribosomal RNA is filed under the name uncultured bacterium. RNAcentral's name for it is "bacterial SSU rRNA". It matches the Rfam family "Bacterial small subunit ribosomal RNA", at positions 434 to 793 of the family's 1533-position model. The record is from RNAcentral.
CAGUCGUGAGGAAGGCGGCGUCGUUAAUAGCGGCGUUGUUUGACGUUAGCGACAGAAGAAAGCACCGGCUAACUCCGUGCCAGCAGCCGCGGUAAUACGGAGGUGCGAGCGUUAAUCGGAAUUACUGGGCGUAAAGCGCAUGCAGGUGGUUUGUUAAGUCAGAUGUGAAAGACCCGGGGCGUCAACCUCGGAAUUGCAUUUGUAAACUAGGCAGACUAGAGUACUGUAGAGGGGGGUAGGAAUUUCAGGUGUAGCGGUGAAAUGCGUAGAGAUCUGAAGGAAUACCGGUGGCGAAGGCGGCCCCCUCGGACAGAUACUGACACUCAGAUGCGAAAGCGUGGGGAGCAAACAGGAUUAGAUACCCUGGUAG